GGUCAAUGAUGAGAACUAGCCAAAUCUGAGUGUGUGUGUCACACCACUGAUUAUUUGCGAGA
RNAcentral lists this small nucleolar RNA (62 nucleotides) under Danio rerio (zebrafish). RNAcentral's name for it is "Small nucleolar RNA U2-19 (ENSDARG00000113271.1)". The record is from RNAcentral. Lineage: Eukaryota; Metazoa; Chordata; Actinopteri; Cypriniformes; Danionidae.